CAAUAGCGUAUAUUAAAGCUGUUGCGGUUAAAAAGCUCGUAGUUGGAUUUCUGUCAAGGACAACUGGUCCGCCCUCCGGGUGAGCACAUAGUUUGGUCUUGGCAUCUUGCUGGAAACUGUUGCUGCGCUUGGUUGUGUGGUGCAGCUUUCAGCACUUUCACUUUGAGGAAAUUGGAGUGUUUCAAGCAGGCACAUGCCUUUGGACACAGUAGCAUGGAAUAAUUAGAUUGGGCUUUUGCUCCAACUUGUUGGUUCCUGGAGCUGAGGUGAGAAUCAAUGAGGAUUGUUGGGGGCAUCCGAAUUUAGCCGUCAGAGGUGAAAUUCUUGGAUCUGCUAAAGACGGACAACUGCGAAAGCGUUUGCCCAGGAUGUUUUCAUUG
RNAcentral lists this ribosomal RNA (380 nucleotides) under uncultured eukaryote. Its description in RNAcentral is "partial 18S ribosomal RNA". It matches the Rfam family "Eukaryotic small subunit ribosomal RNA", at positions 592 to 975 of the family's 1831-position model. The record is from RNAcentral.